This 267-nucleotide unclassified non-coding RNA is filed under the name plant metagenome. Its description in RNAcentral is "partial contains small subunit ribosomal RNA, internal transcribed spacer 1, and 5.8S ribosomal RNA". The record is from RNAcentral.
UCUCCGUAGGUGAACCUGCGGAAGGAUCAUUACCGUACAAAAUGUGGGCGGAAUCCGAUGGCCGUCGCUGACUCAAAAGUCGGGCACGCCCGAGUGCGUCCUCUUGCAUAACAAUCCACCCCACCCUUUGUGCGCCACCGCGUGGGCACCCGUCGGGAUUAUCUCGGAGGGGCGCUCGCGUAUUCUCACAAACCCCCCUUUUAGAAGUGUAGAUUUACAACAUAUAUGCAAAAAAUACAACUUUCAACAACGGAUCUCUUGGUUCUG